This 477-nucleotide ribosomal RNA is filed under the name uncultured Actinomycetes bacterium. Its description in RNAcentral is "bacterial SSU rRNA". It matches the Rfam family "Bacterial small subunit ribosomal RNA", at positions 943 to 1421 of the family's 1533-position model. The record is from RNAcentral. Lineage: Bacteria; Bacillati; Actinomycetota; Actinomycetes.
GGCUUAAUUCGACGCAACGCGAAGAACCUUACCAAGGCUUGACAUAUACAGGAAUAUGGCAGGAAAUUCCAUAGCCGCAAGGUCUGUAUAACAAGGUGGUGCAUGGUUGUCGUCAGCUCGUGUCGUGAGAUGUUGGGUUAAGUCCCGCAACGAGCGCAACCCUCGUUCUGUGUUGCCAGCAUUUAGUUGGGGACUCACAGGAGACUGCCGGGGUUAACUCGGAGGAAGGUGGGGAUGACGUCAAAUCAUCAUGCCCCUUAUGUCUUGGGCUGCACGCAUGCUACAAUGGCUGGUACAAACGGCUGCGAUACCGCAAGGUGGAGCGAAUCCGAUAAAGCCAGUCUCAGUUCGGAUUGGGGUCUGCAACUCGACCCCAUGAAGUCGGAGUUGCUAGUAAUCGUAGAUCAGCAACGCUACGGUGAAUACGUUCCCGGGGCUUGUACACACCGCCCGUCACGUCACGAAGUCGGUAACACC